GACGAACGCUGGCGGCGCGCUUAACACAUGCAAGUCGAGCGAUGAAACUUUAAGAGAUCCCUUCGGGGCGAAGCUAAAGUGGAUUAGCGGCGGACGGGUGAGUAACCUGUGAUUAACCUGCCGUAGACAUUGGGAUAGCUACGGUAAACCGGGAUUAAUACCACAUAAAAUCAUAAUGACACAUGUCAUAACGAGCAAAACUCCGGUGGUCUAAGAUGGAAUCGAGUCCCCUUAGCAAGUUGGUAGAGUAAAAGCGUACCAAGGCGAGGAUGGGUAGCCGGGCUGAGAGGGUGAGCUGCCACAUUGGAAGUGAGGAACGGUCCAGAAUCAUACGGGAGGCAGCAGUGGGGAAUAUUGCACAAUGGAGGGAACUGAAAUGCGCCGACGCGGCGUAAACGAAGUAUGCUUUCGAAUAGUAACGUUCUUUUAUAUGCGCAGUUAAUGGCGGUAACAUAAGAAAAAGCCCCGGCUAAAUACCUG
RNAcentral lists this ribosomal RNA (480 nucleotides) under uncultured bacterium. RNAcentral's name for it is "partial 16S ribosomal RNA". It matches the Rfam family "Bacterial small subunit ribosomal RNA", at positions 28 to 507 of the family's 1533-position model. The record is from RNAcentral.